This 468-nucleotide ribosomal RNA is filed under the name uncultured bacterium. RNAcentral describes it as "partial 16S ribosomal RNA". It matches the Rfam family "Bacterial small subunit ribosomal RNA", at positions 28 to 507 of the family's 1533-position model. The record is from RNAcentral.
GACGAACGCUGGCGGCGUGCUUAACACAUGCAAGUCGAACGGAAAGGCCCUGCUUUUGUGGGGUGCUCGAGGGGCGAACGGGUGAGUAACACGUGAGUAACCUGCCCAUGACUUUGGGAUAACUUCAGGAAACUGGGGCUAAUACCGGAUAGGAGCUCCUGCUGCAUGGUGGGGGUUGGAAAGUUUCGGCGGUUGGGGAUGGACUCGCGGCUUAUCAGCUUGUGGGUGGGGUAGUGGGUUACCAAGGCUUUGACGGGUAGCCGGCGUGAGAGGGUGACCGGCCACAUUGGGACUGAGAUGCGGCCCAGACUCCUACGGGAGGCAGCAGUGGGGAAUAUUGCACAAGGGGCGGAAGACUGAUGCAGCAACGCCGCGUGCGGGAUGACGGCCUUAGGGGUGGAAACCGCUUCCGCCUGUGACGAAGCGUGAGUGGCGGUAAUGGGUAAAGAAGCACCGCCUAACUACGUG